Globicephala melas (long-finned pilot whale) is the source of this 2060-nucleotide long non-coding RNA. RefSeq lists it as uncharacterized. The record is from RefSeq and is a predicted model, not a curated record. NCBI's taxonomy places the organism in Eukaryota, Metazoa, Chordata, Mammalia, Artiodactyla, Delphinidae.
CCUCAGUUGUAAUCAAAGGAAUGGAAACAGUAGCAGCUUUAAGGUAUCAUUUUAAUAUACCGAUUUUGGUAAAAACCUUUAAAAAGUGGUAAUAUACUCUGUGCAGGUGCAGUUAUGGUAAAAUCAAUACAUCCAGGUACUGUGACAUAAUAUUAAAUAGCAUAAGCCUCUUGGAAAUCAAUAAAGCAAUAUAUAAGAGCAGAAAUAAAGAGUAAUAUAUUAACCAAAAAUGUUAACAUCUUUGAUUCGAGUAAUUCCACUGUAUGGGAUUUAUGUUUGGCAGGCACCCACCUAAAUGAGCGUGAAGAUGUUCGUCACAAUAUUAUACAUAAUAUUGAAAACAUUGGAAGCUUACUAUGUCCAAUAAAUACAUUAUGGCUUAUCCACUUGAAGAAAUACUAUUAAACCAUUAAAAAUGAGAAUUAUAAAAACAACAUAGUGAUAAGGAAACUGCAAAUGACCUAACAGUAAAAGAAAAAAGUAGGAAGCAAAAAGUAUGUGUGAUAUAAUUGUAACUAAGUACAACUCUAUGUAGACUGUGGCAGAUACUGUUGGUGGCCAACACAACAUUUGUUCCUUUGUCCUUCUCCUCUGUCCUCAAAAUACUUGCUUUCUCAGCUUCACUUGAGCUGUGGUAGCCAUGUUACCAGUAAGAUAUAAACCAAAGUCUCCCGGAGGAAUUCAGGGAAAUAUGUUGCUUUACUGAUAAAUGGGAUUCUCACAGCUUUCACCAUCCCCUCCCUCUAUCCUCAUUCUGCCUUGAAUUUAGGCAAGAUGCCUGGAGUUGCAGCAGCCUCCUUGUGACAGUGAGGCAGCAAGCAUGUUAAAAGGCAACCUAUCAAGGAUGAUGGAGCAGCGACAUUGAAAGACCCUGUGUCCAUGACAUCAUUGUGCUGCCUCCCAACCCGGAAACAACCUGCUGCCAGUCUUUUGGCUGCUCUGGCUCUCUCUUCUCCUGUCAGUGACCCCAGCUUGGCAUGGAAGGGUCUGGAUCCAAGCCAAAGGGCUGUUUCCUGGUCCUAUGUGGAGGCGGCGGUAGGUGGAGCUCGAGGCUCUCCGCUGAGCUGGGCCGGGGAGUGGGACUCUUCACCUGGCCCUGGCAGGCGGAUGGGCGCUGGGGAGGCUCGGCGUCAGCGGCUGUGGCUCGAGGUAAAAAUAAUCAGGGAAGGACAGCUGCUUCCUUGUCAGCAACCAAGAGGGAAAUAAAGCUCAUGUCCCCUCCAGCGAAAACCUGCUCUCUGGGUCCCCUGGCUCCUGCCACCAACUGCUCGAUGUCUGUGUGCCAAUCCAAUUUGAAUGCCUGCGAGUCACCCCAGAGAGGGCUUAUUUUAACUUCAUCAAGUGCAGAGAAAAACAUCCAGGCUGGAGUGUGGGAGGGGAGGAGUAGCUGCUCGGGGGCCCCAGCAGGGGAUGGGAUCCGGGGGCUGCUGCCCCUCCAGUGGUUGGACCUGGGGUCCCUGCCUCCUAAUCUGGUUCAGCCGAGGCUUGGUGAGCACCCCCUGCGUGUUCCCCGAGCACCCCGUGCAUGUUCCCUGAAAUCGGGAGGAUAACGUCCCAACCCCUUGGCCCCACUCAGGAAGUCCUUUCCGACGUCCUCAACCUCUCCUAUCCCCUCUCUUCUCCAAAACCCUCCUCCAGCCUGUCCCAGGCUCUCCACGAAGGCCCAGACGGCCUGUUCUCUCAUGUCUCCAUGCCUUUGCACUCACCCUGCCUUCUCUUUGUUUCUUUGCCUGUUGGAUGUCUACAAAUUCUGGAAAGUUCCUAGUCAUGCUUCAAGACUCAGUGUCACUGGCUGCUUCCCCACCUCUCCGGGCAGAGUGAGAUGUUCUCCCUGGAUCCCCACAGGAUUUUGUACCCGCCUCUGUUGUCACAAGCCCUGUGCUGGGUGUCCAGGACAGAUGUGAACCCCAGCCGGUCCCUGCAGCACGAGGUUAGGAAUGUACGCAAGAGACUGUUUCUGACCGCGACUCCAAUGACAAGAGACUUACCUUUUUAGUUCAUUCAUUUAUUGUUUUUCUGUGCAUGUAGUGGUUUAAUAAUGAAAAUAACAAGAAAUGUUU